RNAcentral lists this ribosomal RNA (405 nucleotides) under uncultured bacterium. Its description in RNAcentral is "partial 16S ribosomal RNA". It matches the Rfam family "Bacterial small subunit ribosomal RNA", at positions 30 to 526 of the family's 1533-position model. The record is from RNAcentral.
AUUGAACGCUGCGGCAGGCUUAACACAUGCAAGUCGAGCGAGCGUCGGACGGGUGAGUAUUGCUUAGGAAUCUUCCUAUUAGUGGUGGACAACAUCUCGAAAGGGAUGCUAAUACCGCAUACUUAGAGAUGAGCCUAAGUCGGAUUAGCUAGUGGGUGGGGUAAAGGCCUACCAAGGCGACGUUCUGUAGCGGGUCUGAGAGGAUGAUCCGCCACAGUGGGACUGAAACACGGCCCAGACUACGACGGGAGGCAGCAGUGGGGAAUAUUGGACAAGGAGGGGAAGACUGAUGGAGCAAUGCCGCGUGUGUGAAGACGGCCUUAUGGUUGUAAAGCGCUGUAAGCGAGGAGGCGUUACUCGCAGAAAAAGCACCGGCUAACUCCGUGCCAGCAGCCGCGGUAGUAC